AGAGAGAGACAUGCGCGCAUAUCAAUAAGCGGAGGAAAAGAAACUAACAAGGAUUCCCUUAGUAACGGCGAGUGAAGCGGGAAGAGCUUCAAAUUUGAAAUCUUCAAGGUUCUACCUUGACGAAUUGUAGUUUAAAGAAGUGUUUUCUGUUGAAGUUUUGGUAAAAGUUCUUUGGAAUAGGACAUCAUAGAGGGUGAGAAUCCCGUAUUUGACCAUUAUUUUCAGCUUUGUGAUACACUUUCAAAGAGUCGGAUUGUUUGGGAAUGCAGUCCAAAAUGGGUGGUAAAUUUCAUCUAAAGCUAAAUAUUGGCGAGAGACCGAUAGCGAACAAGUACCGUGAGGGAAAGAUGAAAAGAACUUUGAAAAGAGAGUUAAACAGUACGUGAAAUUGUCAAAAGGGAAGCGUUUGACACCAGUGUUGUUUUCUCGAAAAUCAAUUAAAAAUGGCUCGAUUUUGUAUUGCUGAGACCUUAAAAGCUCACUGUACAUUUUUCGUGUCUUUUUUAAUGCACUUUUCGUUUAACAAGUCAACAUCAGUUUCUUUUGUUGUAAAAGGGUCAUUGGAAGGUGGCUUUCUUUUCGGAGAAAGUGUUUAUAGCCUUUGGCCUCUGCAAUCGGAGAGACUGAGGUCUGCAGCGUAGACUCUUCGGGGUUAGAUACAUUUGUGCUAAGUUAUAGCUUUUUAUAGACAACUUGUUGACUAUAAUUAGUCUUGUAGCUUACUCGCUUAUGCUAUUUUACCUACGCUUAGGAUGUUGAAGAUGUAGCACAUCAU
RNAcentral lists this ribosomal RNA (775 nucleotides) under uncultured Neocallimastigales. Its description in RNAcentral is "partial large subunit ribosomal RNA". It matches the Rfam family "Eukaryotic large subunit ribosomal RNA", at positions 23 to 634 of the family's 3401-position model. The record is from RNAcentral. Lineage: Eukaryota; Fungi; Neocallimastigomycota; Neocallimastigomycetes; Neocallimastigales.